ACAAACUUGGUCAUUUAGAGGAAGUAAAAGUCGUAACAAGGUUUCCGUAGGUGAACCUGCGGAAGGAUCAUUAAUGAAUAAACACUUGAUGGGUUGUCGCUGGUCUCUCGAGACAUGUGCACGCCUAUCUUGACUUCUGUUCAUCCACCUGUGCACCUUUUGUAGUCUUGAACUUUUUAAGGGAUUGUCGAGGAAGCGGCUGCUCGGUCUAUAACAAGAUCGGACUUGAGGAUUGCUGUCAAGCUUUCUUCUGCUAAAGUCGUGAAAUCAUGCCUUUGGAAGGUUUUGAGACUAUGUCUUAUAUCAUAAACCAUGUAGUAUGUUGCCAGAAUGUAUUCAAUGGGCCUUUGUGCCUAUAAAACCUUAUACAACUUUCAGCAACGGAUCUCUUGGCUCUCGCAUCGAUGAAGAACGCAGC
This 418-nucleotide unclassified non-coding RNA is filed under the name uncultured fungus. RNAcentral describes it as "partial contains small subunit ribosomal RNA, internal transcribed spacer 1, and 5.8S ribosomal RNA". The stretch from base 1 to 73 matches the Rfam family "Eukaryotic small subunit ribosomal RNA", at positions 1759 to 1831 of the family's 1831-position model. Lineage: Eukaryota; Fungi. The record is from RNAcentral.